GACGGAGGAUGCAAGCGUUAUCCGGAAUGAUUGGGCGUAAAGCGUCCGCAGGUGGCAGUUCAAGUCGGGUGUGAAAACUCCGGGCUCAACUCGGAGACGCCACUCGAUACUGCCAUGACUCGAGUCCGGUAGGGGAGUGCGGAAUUCCUGGUGUAGCGGUGAAAUGCGCAGAUAUCGGGAGGAACACCGGUGGCGAAGGCGGUUCUCUGGGCCUGUACUGACGCUGAGGAGCGAAAGCGUGGGGAGCGAACAGG
RNAcentral lists this ribosomal RNA (254 nucleotides) under uncultured bacterium. Its description in RNAcentral is "partial 16S ribosomal RNA". It matches the Rfam family "Bacterial small subunit ribosomal RNA", at positions 524 to 776 of the family's 1533-position model. The record is from RNAcentral.